RNAcentral lists this unclassified non-coding RNA (1827 nucleotides) under Venturia canescens. RNAcentral describes it as "glycerol kinase-like, transcript variant X2". Lineage: Eukaryota; Metazoa; Arthropoda; Insecta; Hymenoptera; Ichneumonidae. The record is from RNAcentral.
UCAGUGCGCUGAGCGUCCAAGCGGCGCAGAGUGAGCUCGAGCGUCGCGACGGUUAGCGAAAAUUAUGUUUCGUUUCAUUUCUCUAGUUCGAAAAACGAAAAAAUUAACGUUGAAUGACGGUUGAAAAGAAAAAAAAAAUUCUGUUAUAUUAUCGAAAUUUAAUACCAAAGACGAAAGUAUUUUGUAUUCGUUAAGUCUUCGAGUUGAGAUAUACAAAAUUCGGCUUUUUGUUCCAUCAUUAUUGCCUUCGAUGAUCUGUCAAAUGAAAGAGAAUGAAUCAAUGAACAGAUACGGUCCUCUCGUCGGUGCUAUUGACGAAGGGACGAGUAGCGCUAGAUUUCUUGUUUUUGCUGCGAAUACGGCAGAAGUAUUGACCUACCAUCAAGUGCCGAUAUCUCAAUCUUAUCCCAAAGAAGGAUGGGUGGAACAGGAUCCGAUAGAAAUUUUAAAUGCCGUCAAAGAAUGUCUCAGUCAAACGGUUUACAAUUUGCAACAAUUGACCAUCGACCAUUCGGAUAUUGUUUCUAUCGGAGUCACCAACCAGAGAGAAACCACUGUUGUCUGGGACUCUGUUACUGGAGAACCAUUAUAUAACGCCAUUGUAUGGAUGGAUAUGCGAACAACCUCUAUUGUAGAUGAUAUACUCAAAAAAGUUCGUAAUCAAAAUAAAAACUACCUCAAACCGCUCUGUGGAUUACCAAUAAGUCCUUACUUCAGUGCACUGAAGCUCAAGUGGUUAUUAAACAACGAGCCGAAAGUUCAAAAUGCCAUAGCUAAUAAGAGAUGCAUGUUCGGGACUAUAGACUCCUGGCUCAUCUGGAAUCUUACCGGAGGAAUCAAUGGCGGUGCUCACUGCACAGACGUGACAAAUGCUUCGCGUACAAUGCUUAUGAAUAUAACUACUCUCAAGUGGGAUCCGACAUUGUUGAAAUUUUUCGACAUACCAAUUGAUAUUCUGCCUCGUAUACGAAGCUCCUCCGAAAUUUAUGGACACAUACAUGAUGGGAUGCUUCGAGGGGUCCCUAUCUCAGGAUGUUUGGGUGAUCAGCAGGCUGCUCUUGUCGGUCAAAUGUGUUUACAAAAAGGUCAAGCAAAAAGCACCUAUGGAACCGGAUGUUUUUUACUAUACAAUACGGGGACAGCGAUCGUCGACUCGUCACACGGUUUGUUAACAACGGUAGCUUAUCAAUUGGGAGCAAACAAUCCACCGAUAUACGCUCUGGAAGGCUCCGUAGCGAUAGCCGGAGCGGUUAUGCAAUGGCUCAAAGAAAAUCUCGGUAUGCUUUCGGAUGUGAAAGAGUGCGAGAGCAUCGUUGAGAAAAUUCCAUCCGACAAUCGCGUGACUUUUGUGCCGGCUUUUGCCGGUUUGUAUGCACCAUAUUGGCGAAAAGAUGCGAGAAGCGUUAUUUGUGGAUUAACGGAAGACACAACGAGCGAACACAUAGUGAAAGCAGCACUGCAAGCGAUAUGCUUUCAAACCCGUGAUAUUCUCGAGGCCAUGACGGAAGACACCGGUUUAAUUCUGUCGAAACUGUUAGUCGACGGUGGAAUGACGAAUAACAGUUUAUUAAUGCAGAUGCAAGCUGACAUUUGCGGGAUUCCAGUGGGAAGUCAGGCCACUUAUGUGUGAAACGACUGCCCUUGGAGUUGCUAUAGCGGCGGGAAGUGCCGAAGGCAUUAGAAAAUGGGACCUGAGACUGGACGUCCCAGUGCCGAGUGACACUUUUGUUCCCUCCAUUACGGAAAACGAACGAGAUAUUCUAUAUUCGCAAUGGAAAAAGGGGAUUGAAAGAAGCUUGGGAUGGGAAACUUCGGAAGAUAAAAAUG